UACAGAGGGUGCAAGCGUUAUCCGGAUUUACUGGGUUUAAAGGGUGCGUAGGCGGGAUUUUAAGUCAGUGGUGAAAGCUCGUCGCUUAACGACGGAAUUGCCAUUGAAACUGAAAUUCUUGAGAUACAGUGAGGUUGGCGGAAUGAGACAUGUAGCGGUGAAAUGCAUAGAGAUGUCUUAGAACACCAAUUGCGAAGGCAGCUGACUGGCUGUUAUCUGACGCUGAGGCACGAAAGCGUGGGGAUCAAACAGG
Molecule: ribosomal RNA, 253 nt
Filed under: uncultured bacterium
Lineage: Bacteria
Description: partial 16S ribosomal RNA
Rfam family: Bacterial small subunit ribosomal RNA
Source: RNAcentral